RNAcentral lists this ribosomal RNA (253 nucleotides) under uncultured bacterium. Its description in RNAcentral is "partial 16S ribosomal RNA". It matches the Rfam family "Bacterial small subunit ribosomal RNA", at positions 524 to 776 of the family's 1533-position model. The record is from RNAcentral.
UACAGAGGGGGCAAGCGUUAUUCGGAAUUAUUGGGCGUAAAGGGCGCGUAGGCGGCUUGGCAAGUGGAUGGUGAAAUCCCUCGGCUUAACCGAGGAACUGCCGUCCAAACUGCUUCGCUUGAGACCGGGAGAGGUGAGUGGAAUUCCCAGUGUAGCGGUGAAAUGCGUAGAUAUUGGGAGGAACACCAGUGGCGAAGGCGGCUCACUGGACCGAUACUGACGCUGAUGCGCGAAAGCGUGGGGAGCAAACGGG